AAGUCCCCCAACGGGCUCCGCACUGUGGAAGUCUGCUUGAGAUCCUCUCUCUCUGCCCCUCCACUCACUUGCACAUGCUCUCUCUCUCUCAAAUAAAUAAAAUAAAUCUUUAAAAAAAUACAUCUGAUUACCAGGUUUAGAAAUGGAAGAUUACUAGAACUGUUGGUAAACACAGGUAUAAUCAUAACACUCACUCUGUUGGGACCCCACGAAGCCUUAUGCUAGAAACCAUUAUCUAGAGUGCCAGAAAGGUGUAAUGAAGAGAAAAAAGUACUAUGAAUUGAGUGAGUCCUGGAUUGGCACCCCUGCUUUGCCCCUGACAACAUAAACCCAACAACUCCAAUCCCUUGUCACGCUAUCCUGCCAUCCAGUUCUCACUCUGAAGUCUUGGCACCAGCAACAAGAAGAGUGAGGAAGGCAUCAGACACAUCAGAGGCCCCUGGUCUCCCCAGAACCCUCAUGAAGACUGCAGACUAACACAUUUCUCUUCCUAACACGGGGUGUCGAGAACCAGGAGCACAGACCAGAUGGCCCACGAAGACUGAAGUAUCUACUUUCUCGUCCUUUACAGAAGAUGUAUGCCAACUCCUGAGGCAGACGGAGCAGCAGACAGACAAUACAAACUGUAAUCCUUGAUCACCUACACAUCGCGAUCUCCAAACGAGCUUGGCAUUGUGCUCGGAGAAGGUGGGCAACUGCCUCACCUCCCAGAAGGUAAUUCAUCUGAAGCUUGGGAGUCUAAGCCAGUGCUCUCAAUAUGAUUUUGGGUGGACAGCAACUGGUUUAGGAGCAGACUUCUAACUCAGAAUUUUGGCCAGAGAGUUUGUUGUGCAAAGAUAAGUUUCUUGUGACUUCAAGGGACAUCUUAUGACCAUGAGGCUAUGAAGAUUUCAAAGACCUAACCUAUCCCAGAACGAGACUUCAUUGAGCCGCUGAAUUAACCAAAGCUGAAAGCGCCUGUUCCAGACUUGGAGCCUUCCCAGCAGCCACGCUUGGUUCAGAGAGCCUGUUAACAAUGGUCCCCUUUCAAGUCCAGGAUUGUGUCUCAGCUCCUGGACUGUUCUAUCUAGACUGACAUUGAAGAGUGGAUCCUCUCCUCCACAAAGGACUGCCUGAUGGCUUUACGUACCAAUUAAAAGUGAAGUCUAGAAGGGGCAAAAAGAAUUUCUGCUAAGCUAGUAGAUGUUGUUGGAUUAACGUUCCAUAUACUUUGAGAAAUCCGUUGCAUGGGACUACGUGCAAGAUCUUUAAGCAACAAGACUUGUAAUCUGAAACUCUACUGAUACCCAAAGCUACAGAUGAGGUGUUCCUGGUUGGCUCUGGAGGAUCUACCUAACCCUCCUCUCAAGUAAUCCAGCUGCGGUGAUGUGUAUAAGAGACUCCAGAAGAGCUGAGAUCUGAAUGAAAACUUCAAGGAAAUCAGGAAUUCUUUUGAUGGGCCGAGAGAGAGACGAGGGGGGUAGCAACAACUCUUGUUGCUGGCUUUGAAAAGUAGGCUGCCCUGUUCUAAGAGUGCCUAUGAGAGGGUCACAUGGCCAAGAACAGUGGGCAGCCUCUAAAAGCUGUGAGUGGCCCCUGACUGACAACCAGCAAG
Molecule: long non-coding RNA, 1594 nt
Organism: Mirounga angustirostris (Northern elephant seal)
Lineage: Eukaryota; Metazoa; Chordata; Mammalia; Carnivora; Phocidae
Exons: 9
Source: RefSeq, a predicted model, not a curated record